CGCAGUUCAGGGUUUUCCGUAGGUGACCUGCGGAGGUCAUUAUCGAAUUAUAAGCGAGGGUUGUAGCUGGCCUCCCUUUCGAGGCAUGUGCACGCCUGAGCUCUUAAAUCCACAACACACCUGUGAACCCACCGUAGGCCUUCGGGCUUAUGCAUAUAUACUCUGAAUGUGUCAUAGAAUGUUCAUGUUGCCUUAAAACGCAAUCAAAUACAACUUUCAACAACGGAUCUCUUGGCUCUCGCAUCGAUGAAGAACGCAGCGAAAUGCGAUAAGUAAUGUGAAUUGCAGAUUUUCAGUGAAUCAUCGAAUCUUUGAACGCACCUUGCGCUCCUUGGUAUUCCGAGGAGCAUGCCUGUUUGAGUGUCAUUAAAUCCUCAACCCCACCGAUUUGCUUCGGGGGGAUUGGACUUGGAGCGUGCUGGCGAAGGUCGGCUCCUCUUUAAAUGCAUCAGUGGAGAAAGAAAGCUCGUCCCAGUGUGAUAAUCCUGUUGCGCUGUGGUGGGGUGAAAAUUCCGCUUCCAACCCGUCCUCCGGGACAAGACAUCUCAAUUUGACCUCAAAUCAGGUAGGACUACCCGCUGAACUUAAGCAUAUCAUAAA
This 600-nucleotide ribosomal RNA is filed under the name uncultured Amphinema. RNAcentral's name for it is "eukaryotic LSU rRNA". The stretch from base 212 to 366 matches the Rfam family "5.8S ribosomal RNA". The record is from RNAcentral. Lineage: Eukaryota; Fungi; Basidiomycota; Agaricomycetes; Atheliales; Atheliaceae.